UACGUAGGGGGCAAGCGUUGUCCGGAAUCAUUGGGCGUAAAGAGCGUGUAGGCGGCCAGAUAAGUCCGCUGUGAAAUCUCGAGGCUCAACUUCGAGCUGUCGGUGGAAACUGUCUGGCUAGAGUCCGGAAGAGGAGAAUGGAAUUCCUGGUGUAGCGGUGAAAUGCGCAGAUAUCAGGAGGAACACCCGUGGCGAAAGCGGCUCUCUGGGACGGUACUGACGCUGAGACGCGAAAGCGUGGGGAGCAAACAGG
This 253-nucleotide ribosomal RNA is filed under the name uncultured bacterium. RNAcentral's name for it is "partial 16S ribosomal RNA". It matches the Rfam family "Bacterial small subunit ribosomal RNA", at positions 524 to 776 of the family's 1533-position model. The record is from RNAcentral.